RNA transcript from Halichondria panicea, 6919 nucleotides. RefSeq lists it as uncharacterized. The transcript has 8 exons. The record is from RefSeq and is a predicted model, not a curated record. NCBI's taxonomy places the organism in Eukaryota, Metazoa, Porifera, Demospongiae, Suberitida, Halichondriidae.
CAAAACGAGGCUCCACCUAUCAAGCAAUCAGAUCAGCACAAGCUCAACUAAAUUUCUCUCUGUUUUUUCUCAACCUCACACUCUAGCUGUAUCUACAGGCUGCAUAAUGUCUGAUAAUGGAUUGUUAGAGAACGCCAAUACCAGAACAUGUUACCAGGACGCUAAAUCCGACCAAUCAGAUGAUGAUUUAGUCUCCCUCUCCAGUGCUGAAUCAGAGUCAAGUCAUUUCUCUGAUAACAAUGAAAUUGACCAGACCACCCAGCCCCACCCUCCUAGUGUGGCCACCGAGAACACUGAGCAUCCUAGUGUGGCCACCGAGACUACUGAGCAUACUCAGACUGACAACUGUAGUGUCUCUUCAGACGGUUGGUUCAAAGUUGAGGCCAACGUUACGGAGACCACACCCACACAGCCGCUCCCCAUGGUGGGACAAAGCAAUAGUCAAGGCACAGAGAGUUGUGCUUCUUCAGCUAAGACAGUAGAGGUGCUGUCUAGUAGUGUUCAGGAUCCUUCAAGUUUUACGAGCCUAGAGGACACUGAAACUGAAACAGGCUCCAUUGUUUCUGCCUCACCAUUGCCACAAACAGAAGAUGCUGCAACAAGUUUAUCUUCCAUUGAAGAAUUACGACGGAAUCAGCAGCAAGACACAUCAGUUAAUGAGGAGCAGUUGGCCACAGGUGGUGAGGUGGGACGAACAGGUACUGAGGAAACAGAUGUGGCCUCAGGGGGCGAGAAGAGUGGACGAAUGUCCCCUUAUCUAAUGAUCAAUAAGGAGGGCAACAUUGCCAGGGUUACGGAAUUCGAAUCCCCUGGUUUGCUCUAUGCCAGACCCACCAGCAAGAAUAAUAAGAGUGAGCUGGUGGCUGAUGAGGUGGCAGUUGAUGUACUGGAGAAGUAUGACGGAGAGGAGGGGGCGGAGGUGGAGGGAGAGGACAGUGAAGACGCUGAAGAGAACUCCUACGAAGUUGGGCUCUCGGAGGGUGUGUCCCUCAUUGAUCCCGACGUCCUGGGUGACCUUGAGAGGAGGGCAAAGGUCAUAGCUGGCAACCUCAACCACGUUAUGGAUAACCUCAGGAACAGUCUACAUGCACAUCAAGAUUGAUGGAGUACACUGUGAGAGACGAAAGGUCAAGAUAGGAUUGAGUUCGGUCCCUUCUGUAAUCGGAUGACCAUGCAGUCAGUCCAUGACUGUCUCGCAGUUGCGGAGAUUUGGCUGGAGGUGGUUGUACAAGCAAGGCUUCAUAGCUCAUCGACAUCAUAAUUAUAGUUCCCUGCUAAACACACUCAAGUGGGAUCUAUAUAGUACCCCUGUUAUCAAUGCAUGGGCUAACCCCUAACCUUAAUCCUAACCCGGGGGUAUAUAGUUUGUGUUGUGUUUUUGUACUCAGCUGCAUGUAUGCAUGCUUUCUUUCGGCAUUCUGGGAAAAUUUAACAAUGUUGAUAAAUAUAAUCAAUCCACAUGUAUAAUAUCGUCAUUAUACACGCAUGUACGUAGUUGGUAUUUUGACUUAAUUGCCACAGUGCAUAGUUCACAAUCUCAACUGCUUGCAUGGCUUUGCUGAGUUAUUGCAUUGUGCUUCGUGUGGUGCCUUUGCACCUACACAUGUAUACUAUAGUACGUAUGUCAAUCCUAGCUUGUAGCAGCUGUUUCCUGAAAUUGCCUUUGUUCCUGAGCUACAGUUACUUCACUUGGACCAGCAGCAUUUAUAGUUUCAACUGAUUCCUGCAACCGAUUCUCUUGUAUUACUUCAGUGUAAGAAGGCAAAGCUUUUCCUUGUGCUUGAACCUCAUAGUAUGAGGGUGGUGGCUGAUUUGAUAAUGAUCUGUCAUUGACUGUCUCAUCAAUAGAAUCAGAGUCUGUGUUUACAGGUUGUCUUAAUUGACUAGUUUGAGGAAGUGAGAAAGCCAAAAGUUGUUGUGGUGCUAAUGUGGCGGCGGCGGUGGCGACGUCAUCGUUGUCAUCGUUGUUGUUGUUGUCAUUGUCGUCGUUGUUAUUAUAUUCUGUUUGUCUGUAAUGAAUGAGUCUAAUUCUUCUUACUCCUGGGUCCACUCGAGUUGAGAUUGUUCGAGUUCGUGGAUGAUUAAUUCUAUCUUUCAUAACACGGCAUACAAUUCCCAAAAAUAUUGCUAUACCGAUUAGUCCUGGAAUACCAACACCAAGUCCACUAAUUAACAGUGUUGAAGAUGUUGAAGAAUCAGAACCAGUAUUGGAUGGUCUGUUCUGCGCUUGACUGAUAGCUGGUAUCACCGUCAUCUCCUCUGUACUCUGUACUAAUAACAAGAAACUGUCUAAUGACUAUAAAUCAUAAUUACUGAAUCUAAUAAUCUUGACGUACUUGGUGUACUUUUAUACACACACCUGUUGACCUAACCAUUAAUUGUGCUAUAUAUAGCAGCUAAUGUAGAUUUCCCAAAUAAUCUGUUUCCCAUGAAGUAACUUAAUCCCUGCUUCAAUUCCUGGAACAUGUUUGAGUGUUGAGUCAUACGUAUAGCUAUAUGCUUAAUAAGUACGGAAUCUGAUCUGUGUUUAAUUAUAGAAUCAAUUCAGAUUUUGACGUAUAAAACUAUGAACCUUGUUGUACAUGUGACAUGCAUGUUCAUUGUGAAGACAGAGUCCGUAAUUUGUCUGCAAAUAAUUCCCCAAGCUGUUAGUGUGUUUUCCUUGAGUGCAUGUUGAGGUCAUUUGUAUGUGUACUGUUGUGGCCAGGAGUCGAAUAUGCCAUGUCUAUGCUGGGUCACAUGUGAUAACAAAAUUAAUGUUGACCCAAUUUAGUUAUGUGUAUAUAACCCUGCAUGGCCUUUAAUUAUGUUAUAGUUAUAACACGGGCACGAGGGAUGUAUGGAAUAUAUUGCACUGAAGCACGAGGGCGCCAGCCCCGAGGGCUGAGUGCAAUAUAUGCCAUGCAGCCCGAGUGCACGUGUUAUAACUAGUUUAUAUCCCGAGGGCAUAGCAACAUAACACUGUCCUAGUAACACAAUAUAAACAGCACAAAAAAAAAGACAGAGACAACUCUAGACACAGCUCCAUCUCUUCUCUCUUCUAGACGCCAGUAUCUGCAGCGUAUAAGAUUGGCAUGACGGACAAAUGGCUUGACACAAAAUUGUUGGAGUUCCAACUGAAAUCUGCAAAACAGCCCCACCCCACUUACUGCAUGCUGCAAAGAAACAGUCCCACCCCACUACUCAGUGAAUACAUGUAUUAGCUGCUGGUCUACGCUCGGCCUCAUAACCAAGCCAAGAAAGCUCGCUUCUACACUGCUGCAAAACAGCUCAUGCCCCCAGCAAAAAGAGCCACUUCUAGUGCUAAGGUGAAGCAGAAUUGACAUGCAUCACGAGGUCGAGGACUAGGUCGAUCUAGGAACACAGAAUCUUCCACAAAAUGAAUCUUGGACAAUUUUAAAACCUGCAUGGUUGCAAGAAGAAACUCCAGCAGUGCUGAACAUUCAUUCCUGCAUGGCUGGACACACUUUGAUACUUGUUAUUUCUCAUGCGUAUUAAUUUAAUUUUAAUUUAAUUGUCUGUCUAAUUGCCAGAGGGGCGUUUUGUGGUUAGUGCAUUAUGACUUUGCGGUCAGUGCAAUAUGACUUUCAGCAGUGCAUUAUGCUGCAUAUUGCACUUGGCAACAACGUAGCAACGGGAUAUAAGCUGCAUAUAAUAUGCUGUAUUUAUCGAGUGCCCUAAAUUGUUCGAUACAUGCAUGUCAAUGCAGUAAUGAGUACAUUGUUCACAAAAUGUCAUGUCCGUUCAGUCUCAGCUCAUCCCCUUUAUAGAAGCUAUAGUGAAACAACAUACGUAAUUAUACUGAAUCUCGUUUACUAAGGAAUGACUUAAGAUUUGGAUAUCAACUACAUAUCCUGUCGCUAUCAGAACUAGAGCACUGAAGUGUGAACACCUCGGCUGUGACAUGAAUAAUAGGUGUUGUCAAGAGUAGUCUUGUCUUGCAAUAAAUGCAGUGAACAUGCUGGCUAAACAGGAAGUAACAGGAGCAGUGUAUUAAAUUAGAGCCUGAGGCAUGCUGAAAAUGGAGUUUUAGUAGUCCAUGAGACAUGCAUGCACUGUGGACUAUAGGAGCUUGAAGUAUUAGAAAUAAUGGCUCCUGUUCUGGGCUAGAAUAGUGUUAUCAAAUUGCACCCUAGAUCAAUUUCCAUCCUACAAUAAAGAACAUCAACAAAAUUAAGAAGCCACAACCACAUUCUAGCUUUCUUUUCUAGUGACCCUUUUCCAUUGUUCCUGGUAUAGGAUCACUUCAGCUGUAAAUACGUACCUUGAAUAAAGGCCAUCCGGUAUUAAAAGACAUUCUACUGUAGGUCAUGCAUGCAUUUGAACCUCUAUUCUCAAAAAUAACCCGCUAUAUACGAUAUGCAAACAUUCUGUAUCAUGCAUGCAGCAAUAUUAUAUAGCUUGACAUGUGUCUGAAUUUUGUUCUUACGGUGCAGAGUUUACUAUCGGCUUCCACUCUACCUAUAGUAUUGUAACAAUGGCUCUAACUGCUUGUUGUUGUUGUCUUAUGCUUCAUGUAACGUCUCUGCACGGAGGCUGUGGUUUGUCAAUCCUUGUAAUUUCUGCUCCUCUCUGGUAAAUAACUCUGCUUCUUCUUGUUGGUACUAGUGUAGUGGCUGUUUCCUGAAGCUGCCUUUGUUCUUGAGCUACAGUUACUUUACUUAGACCUGCAGCAUUUAUAGAUUUCUGCAACCGAUUCUCUUGUAUUACUUCAGUGUAAGAAGGCAAAGCUGUUCCUUGUUCCUGAACCUCAUUGUAUGAGGGUGGUGGUUCAUUUGAUAAUGAUCUGUCGUUGACUGUCUCACCAAUAGCAUCAGAUUCUGGUUUUAACGCGUUAGUAAGAGGAUUCGAGAUAGUGAAAGUAUAUUGUGGUCCUGUGGCGGCAGUAAUUUCUGCUCCUCUCUGAUAAAUAACCCUGCUUCUUCUUGUCGGUAAUAGUGGUGUGUGAUCAUCUCCCCUCCUCGAAUAACUUUCAUUUCUCCUUCUCAGAUGAGCAAUACAGCAUCCCACACACAUUGCUAUAUAGAGUGCCACUAAUAGUGCACCACCAAUGAGUGAAACAAGAUACAAUACCGACGAAUCGAUGGCCAUCUCACCAAUACUAUAAGACACUGUGUUAACGACUAUACUUAUAUAGUGACUAUAGUGACUGACUAUAACGACUAACAUGGUGUUCUUAUAUCCGACAUGUUGACCUAUUAACAUGCAUGUUAUCAGUUGUGAUAACAGAGUUCAUAUAAUUUCUCUGUUCGUUUCCUGCAAGCAUAAUAAAUUAUAAUUAUGCUGGGUGUUGAGGUCAUUUCUAUUUUUACAUGUGUAUAUACUGCAUUAUGCAGUGUAGUAGGUAAAUGAUAAUUGUAAUCAUACGACAAAAGACACUGUGUUAACGACUAUACUUAGUGACUAUAGUGACUGACUAUAACGACUAACAUGGUGUUCUUAUAUCCGACAUGUUGACCUAUUAACAUGCAUGUUAUCAGUUGUGAUAACAGAGUUCAUAUAAUUUCUCUGUUCGUUUCCUGCAAGCAUAAUAAAUUAUAAUUAUGCUGGGUGUUGAGGUUAUUUCUAUUUUUACAUGUGUAUAUACUGCAUUGUGCAGUGUAGUAGGUAAAUGAUAAUUGUAAUCCUCCAUGGCCAGCUAUAUAUCUGCUGCAUAUAAUUAUGGUUCUCCUAUUGAGUGCCCUAUAGCUAUAUAUAAUUUUUGUCUCUUAUAUGUUUGAUACAUGUCAGCACAAUGCUGAAUGUUGUUCACAAAAUGUCAUGUCCAUUCAGUCCUAUUUGAAGCUCAUCCCCUUUAUAGAAGCUAGUGAAACAAGUCAUAUAGCUAAACACUAAAUCUAGAAUGAGCGGUAUCAUUUCAAGUUUUGACAUCAACAAUGACUACAUUUUCAUUGCUGCCUCUGUUAUUGGUGGACUGUUCAUAGCCUUUGCUGUGUUUUUGUACUGCUCUCGGUUUCGUCGUUCUCAAAGAGGUCAAAACUUUUUCCGACGAGCUCCUUCAGAUUCAAAUAAUUUGAGGAGAGACGAUCCAUCUAGUGAGUUUUCUUUAUCGGGUAAUUCCCAGAGGCGGAUAUUGGUUGAAACAGAUGAUCAGUAUAGGAUUGAACCAGGAGUGGACUACCAAUACUACAGUCCACCUAGCCCUUUCCUCAGUACACAGAGAGUAGCGGAAACAAGUGAUCCCCUUGGGAACCCACAAUCGUCUUCGGCUACUGACCCCCCACCUCCCUACGCUACAGCUAUACUCUCUCAGCGAUACCAACCCAGAACACCCUCACCUUUGACCUUUAGCGUCUCGGCUAACCCCCUCCCCACAGGGGCUGAAGCUAUAACUACUGUUUUGCCUCCAGCUUACGAUGUGGCAGUGAGACAAGACAAUGAUGCAAGAUAGAUACGAACGUACCAGAACUAUAUAAUAAUUGUACUAUUACAUUCACCAAUUUUGCUCACGCAGUGUUGUUGACUCACAUGCACACCAAAAUGUAUAGUAAUUAUUGCUUCAUAAUUAUAAAGGUGUCCUGAAACCAUAUUUAUUUUGUAGUGAUUGCAUGCUGUUCACCUCAUAUUAUUAUAUAUAAUUUGUAGAACUGUACAGAAAUAGCUUUCCACUAAUUGAGCACGUGCAGUGUGUACAUGUAUUUUAAUGGUCUACACUGUUCACAGCUUGUACCUGUCCUAUACACUAUGCAACUCUAUUCAUGACGACAGUCACAUUAGCUCUGUAGUUGCAGUUUCAGCUGCCAUAACUAACCACAGUCAAUCUUCCAAGACUAGUACUUCAGUAGCUGAAAGAAAUGGUAGCUGUGAAUGAUCCCAAUGGAAAUGACUUUAUUUACCCUUAUUUCAAUUGGAGCUAUUUCUACUACAUCGCACCGGCAAUUGCUGGUAUUCUGAUUUUAUGUGUAAUGGCUUCAUACUG